Long non-coding RNA from Talpa occidentalis (Iberian mole), 506 nucleotides. RefSeq lists it as uncharacterized. Lineage: Eukaryota; Metazoa; Chordata; Mammalia; Eulipotyphla; Talpidae. The transcript has 4 exons. The record is from RefSeq and is a predicted model, not a curated record.
UUGGGGUGAUUACCAGGGUGAACAGCAGCAGCAGCAGCUGUGAUUACAGUAACUGCGCACACCGGCAUCCUUUUGGGGCCUCAUUGUCCAUGUUCUCACAAGAUUCCAGGUUCUCGGGACAACCGAGCUGUAGCCCUUGGAACCCUGGACAUCCAGGAGAUCCGAAGGCACAGACGAGGCGUUCUGCUAGGCCAGCACCUAAGGGGGUCUCAAACACCUGGCAAGAGGACUUGGUGGUGCCCCAAGGAGAGCAUUUCAUUUUGGCUCCUGGAAAUCAUGGUGGCAGCAGCUGGACCUUUCCAACACCAUUUUGCUACUCUCAGUACCUCUAGACAGGAAGGAAAAGCCAGUAUAGGCUGCCUGAAAAUCAAAUUUAUCUAGCAACCCCAGGUGGGCACAGCCUGUGCAGGAAGAAGCCUCCAGCAAACCCAGACAAGACAAACCUUUUGGCACCCAACCGGGGACAGAGCCAGUAAUGGACAGAGGGAUGCAUCCAUCCGAGGUCA